Molecule: ribosomal RNA, 431 nt
Filed under: uncultured bacterium
Lineage: Bacteria
Description: partial 16S ribosomal RNA
Rfam family: Bacterial small subunit ribosomal RNA
Source: RNAcentral
AACGAACGCUGGCGGCAGGCCUAACACAUGCAAGUCGAGCGCCCUUUCGGGGGAGCGGCGGACGGGUGAGUAACGCGUGGGAAUAUGCCCUUCUCUACGGAAUAGCCUCGGGAAACUGAGAGUAAUACCGUAUACGCCCUUUGGGGGAAAGAUUUAUCGGGGAAGGAUUAGCCCGCGUUGGGUUAGGUAGUUGGUGGGGUAAUGGCCUACCAAGCCGACGAUCCAUAGCUGGUUUGAGAGGAUGAUCAGCCACACUGGGACUGAGACACGGCCCAGACUCCUACGGGAGGCAGCAGUGGGGAAUCUUAGACAAUGGGGGCAACCCUGAUCUAGCCAUGCCGCGUGAGUGAUGAAGGCCUUAGGGUUGUAAAGCUCUUUCAGCUGGGAAGAUAAUGACGGUACCAGCAGAAGAAGCCCCGGCUAACUCCGUG